Molecule: long non-coding RNA, 467 nt
Organism: Lolium rigidum
Lineage: Eukaryota; Viridiplantae; Streptophyta; Magnoliopsida; Poales; Poaceae
Exons: 3
Source: RefSeq, a predicted model, not a curated record
AUAACUAUGAUGUAAUCAGGUAGUAAAGAAACUAAAAUCUGCUACCUGAUGUUCUCCUUAGGUGUAGGAUUCAAUUUGCAACUGCAGAAUUCCUACGAUUCAAGCUUCUGAGGUAUGGCAUGCACAUCUCCUAUUAUCGAAAAGGUCCAACCAUGGAGCUAUCAGUACAUGUGAUGCUUGCUCCCUUACAAAUGAACAGGGGCUUCUACAAAUUGGACUAUGUAGUGGCUGAGUCAAAUUGCUGCUGAUGCCUGCAGGCUGAAGGUUGAGAGGAGCUGUCCCAUCACCCGUAUAAUACCAUUUGGCUGCCAGCUUUUGAUACAUAGCAGAUUGCCAGAUCAAUUAACACCUAAGAUACAAUUCUUCCAGCCACAACUAAUCAAAGAUCUCUACUCCUUUUGUUCCUGCUGAAAAGGCUACCGAAUAUCGUCAGACGCGGAAAUUGAUGGAUCAGCACCUUGCUUCUG